Molecule: long non-coding RNA, 1327 nt
Filed under: Mus musculus (house mouse)
Lineage: Eukaryota; Metazoa; Chordata; Mammalia; Rodentia; Muridae
Description: long non-coding RNA chr6:145863845-145865172
Source: RNAcentral
UUCCAGCGAUAUAAUCCGCAGACUGCCGAGAGAGGAGGGGGUGGCGCGGUGAGGCGCUCUCUUCCUGGCUGAAAAACCCAACUGAAGAGGUGCAGCCGCCACUUUAAAUAAAAACGGGGCUCCUCCAGCUCUGCGGGAAGCCUUUGGGAUGCUCUGGGUACUUGCCACCAAAGGGAAAGAGGCGACGUUCACCAGGAGAGGACGCAGCGGGGGAGUCCUAGCGUUGCGCCCCCAGCGUUACCCCCUUUUGUAUCAGGGCAGGCUGGCUUCCUCAGACCCACUUACCAUUCUGUAAAGCAAUUAUCUUCUGAUGCUGCUGCUCAGUUAAGGCUGUUAGCGCUUUCAAGUGCUUUAAAGUUAAUUCCAAGACUACUGCUUUCUCCAAAUGCCCCAGUGUCUGCAGUGGUGCGACAAAGGGGGACAGGGGUUACUUUAAAACACGCAUUUUUAUUUCCACGCAGCCCAGCAACUUAAGACAGGCACACACACACACACACACACACACACACACCACUGGGAAGGAAGCGCUGCUCAGCUCCCCACAGUCAGGUCGUCAAUGAUCUCUGCCAUUAGCCCGGAGCCCCUGUUCUGAGUCUCUGGGAAACUCUUAGUUACAGCACAAGUUAGAAGGCAGGCCUCUUAAUAUUUACAUUUAUUAUCCUAUCUCUGGGAAUUUUAUCAGGUAAAUACACCCCGGAGUCCAUCAGGAGAAUGAAAAUGUGCAUCUUACUGUCAAUUUCAGAUGUUCGGGCAGUAAAUCUUUCAGCUGAGCAAUGCAUUCAUUAAUUCGGUCUCGUCUCUUCUUUUCUAUUAAUCUGUGCGGUAACUUGUAGGUAUCCUUCAUACACGAGCCAGAGAAAAGAUACAGCAGUGAGCUAAACAUUCAUUCACUUACUGGAUAGAACCCUCCCACCCCAACCCCCAAACACACUAUGUAAUGAACUAAUGCCCAGAACUCUCUCCUCUAGACUUCUAAAAUGCAAUUUAAAUUCAGGUGCGGUGUUGAAUAUCCCCCGGAGUAUCCAGCAAGCCACUUAAAAUUCACAGUUAGGAAAGCUCAGGGCUGGAAUAUAUUUGCGGGCAGAGUUUCCUUGCGAAAUCAAUGGCCCUAAUUAACUAUCCAGGCAGGUUAUGGGAAACUUAAGACUUACCUUGGUAUCGUCUCGCUUCAAGCUCCUUUUGGGUUUACACAUAUACAAAGAGGAAUAGUCCAGUCUGCAAAAACAGAAAUCAGCAUCAGGCCCCCAUUCCGGGAGGGGCUCUGCCCUCACCCGCUCCAUAUCACUUUGUGCAGGGGAUUAAAAAAAAAAAAGCCAAACCGACGCCU